RNAcentral lists this ribosomal RNA (253 nucleotides) under uncultured bacterium. RNAcentral's name for it is "partial 16S ribosomal RNA". It matches the Rfam family "Bacterial small subunit ribosomal RNA", at positions 524 to 776 of the family's 1533-position model. The record is from RNAcentral.
UACGUAGGGUCCGAGCGUUGUCCGGAAUUACUGGGCGUAAAGAGCUCGUAGGUGGUUUGUCGCGUUGUUCGUGAAAACUCACAGCUCAACUGUGGGCGUGCGGGCGAUACGGGCAGACUUGAGUACUGCAGGGGAGACUGGAAUUCCUGGUGUAGCGGUGGAAUGCGCAGAUAUCAGGAGGAACACCGGUGGCGAAGGCGGGUCUCUGGGCAGCAACUGACGCUGAGGAGCGAAAGCGUGGGGAGCGAACAGG